GACGAACGCUGGCGGCGUGCUUAACACAUGCAAGUCGAACGGAAAGGCCCUGCUUUUGUGGGGUGCUCGAGUGGCGAACGGGUGAGUAACACGUGAGUAACCUGCCCUUGACUUUGGGAUAACUUCUGGAAACUGGGGCUAAUACCGGAUAGGAGCUCCUGCUGCAUGGUGGGGGUUGGAAAGUUUCGGCGGUUGGGGCUGGACUCGCGGCUUAUCGGCUUGUUGGUGGGGUAGUGGCUUACCAAGGCUUUGACGGGUAGCCGGCCUGAGCGGGUGACCGGCCACAUUGGGACUGAGAUACGGCCCAGACUCCUACGGGAGGCAGCAGUGGGGAAUAUUGCACAAUGGGCGGAAGCCUGAUGCAGCAACGCCGCGUGCGGGAUGACGGCCUUCGGGUUGUAAACCGCUUUCGCCUGUGACGAAGCGUGAGUGACGGUAAUGGGUAAAGAAGCACCGGCUAACUACGUG
RNAcentral lists this ribosomal RNA (468 nucleotides) under uncultured bacterium. Its description in RNAcentral is "partial 16S ribosomal RNA". It matches the Rfam family "Bacterial small subunit ribosomal RNA", at positions 28 to 507 of the family's 1533-position model. The record is from RNAcentral.